Molecule: ribosomal RNA, 408 nt
Filed under: uncultured bacterium
Lineage: Bacteria
Description: partial 16S ribosomal RNA
Rfam family: Bacterial small subunit ribosomal RNA
Source: RNAcentral
GACGAACGCUGGCGGCGUGCUUCACACAUGCAAGUCGAACGAAGUGGCGAACGGGUGAGUAACGCGUAAUCAACCGGCCCUUCAGAGGGGCACAACAGUUGGAAACGACUGCUAAUACCUCAUACUGCAGGAGGUGAUUGCGUCUGAUUAGCUAGUUGGAGGGGUAACGACCCACCAAGGCGAUGAUCAGUAGCCGGUCUGAGUGGAUGACCGGCCCCAUUGUGACUGAGACACGGCCCAGACUCCUACGGGAGGCAGCAGUGGGGAAUCUUCCGCAAUGGACGAAAGUCUGACGGAGCAACGCCGCGUGAGUGAUGACGGCCUUCGGGUUGUAAAGCUCUGUUAAUCGGGACGCGGUACCGGAAUAGAAAGCCACGGCUAACUACGUGCCAGCCGCCGCGGUAAUUC